UGGGGUCGUCUUCCAUGCGGUAGAAGCUUUGUUCUUUUGCUGUUUGCAAUAAAUCUUGUUGCUGGUCACUGUUUGGGUCCGCACUGCCUUUGUGAGCUGUAACGCUCACCACGAAGGUCUGCGGGUUCACUGCUGAGGCCAGUGAGAGCCCGAGCCCACCAGGAGGAAUGAACAACUCCGGAUGGGAGAAACGAACAACUCCAGAUCCGCCGACUUAAGAGCUGCAACACUCACCGCCAAGCUAUGCAGCUUGACUCCUGAAGCCAGCGAGACCACGAACCCAUCAGAAGAAAAACUGUGAACACACCCGAGGAAUAAACUCCGGACACACCAUCUUUAAGAAUUGUAACACUCACCACGAGGGUCCACGGCUUCAUUCUUGAGGAAAAUUAAAUCUUCUUUAAGGUCCUGCUCUUUUCCUCUUGACAGCAAGCUACCACUGUUUAGAGAGAGUCUCCUGUUGUCUUCGUCCUGAGGCUUCUUCCAUCUGCACGGAGGUUCCGAAGCGUUUAUGACAUAUCAAUCCCUCUACCAUCAGGCACACAUUUCACUGUUUUGGGAGAAGGCCUUUGGACUGAAGCUGGAAUCACUGCUGCUCCGUGGGUGCUUGUCAUGGCUCCUGUGGAUGGGAACCCGCUAGGCUUCUAGGCUCUGCAUGGGUUUGUCUUUUUGAAUAAAUUGAGCAA
Molecule: long non-coding RNA, 686 nt
Filed under: Homo sapiens (human)
Lineage: Eukaryota; Metazoa; Chordata; Mammalia; Primates; Hominidae
Description: HSALNT0000665
Source: RNAcentral